This 427-nucleotide ribosomal RNA is filed under the name uncultured bacterium. Its description in RNAcentral is "bacterial SSU rRNA". It matches the Rfam family "Bacterial small subunit ribosomal RNA", at positions 355 to 774 of the family's 1533-position model. The record is from RNAcentral.
UGGGGAAUUUUGGACAAUGGGCGCAAGCCUGAUCCAGCAAUGCCGCGUGCAGGAUGAAGGCCUUCGGGUUGUAAACUGCUUUUGUACGGAACGAAACGGCUCUGGUUAAUACCUGGGGCUAAUGACGGUACCGUAAGAAUAAGCGCCGGCUAACUACGUGCCAGCAGCCGCGGUAAUACGUAGGGUGCGAGCGUUAAUCGGAAUUACUGGGCGUAAAGCGUUCGCAGGCGGUGAUGUAAGACAGAUGUGAAAUCCCCGGGCUCAACCUGGGACCUGCAUUUGUGACUGUAUAGCUAGAGUACGGUAGAGGGGGAUGGAGUUCCGCGUGUAGCAGUGAAAUGCGUAGAUAUGCGGAGGAACACCGAUGGCGAAGGCAAUCCCCUGGACCUGUACUGACGCUCAUGCACGAAAGCGUGGGGAGCAAACA